RNAcentral lists this ribosomal RNA (482 nucleotides) under uncultured bacterium. RNAcentral describes it as "partial 16S ribosomal RNA". It matches the Rfam family "Bacterial small subunit ribosomal RNA", at positions 28 to 507 of the family's 1533-position model. The record is from RNAcentral.
GAUGAACGCUGGCGGCGUGCCUAAUACAUGCAAGUCGAACGCUUCACUUCGGUGAAGAGUGGCGAACGGGUGAGUAAUACAUAAGUAACCUGGCAUCUACAGGGGGAUAACUGAUGGAAACGUCAGCUAAGACCGCAUAGGUGUAGAGAUCGCAUGAACUCUAUAUGAAAAGUGCUACGGGACUGGUAGAUGAUGGACUUAUGGCGCAUUAGCUUGUUGGUAGGGUAACGGCCUACCAAGGCGACGAUGCGUAGCCGACCUGAGAGGGUGACCGGCCACACUGGGACUGAGACACGGUCCAGACUCCUACGGGAGGCAGCAGUAGGGAAUUUUCGGCAAUGGGGGAAACCCUGACCGAGCAACGCCGCGUGAAGGAAGAAGUAAUUCGUUAUGUAAACUUCUGUCAUAGAGGAAGAACGGUGGAUAUAGGGAAUGAUAUCCAAGUGACGGUACUCUAUAAGAAAGCCACGGCUAACUACGUG